UGAAUAUGAGCCUUACAUUUUUGCUACGUUUUAUUUUAUAUUUAUAAAUGUAUUUUAAAUAUAUUACUUCUGGACUACUGUAUAUGAGCUAAUCAAAUGGCCACUGAGGGAUGAAGGUAAUAUGAGACUGAAAACAGUGAUUAGUUAUGUGAUCAAUAACAGAAAAAUGCUACCAUUAGAAGUUGUCAGCUAAACACAGUAUAAUUGGUCUCUGACAAGUUAAAAUAUAAUAGCUCAGUCUCUAGGGAAUGUGAUUUAUGGUUAAUUUAAGAC
Non-coding RNA from Pelobates cultripes (western spadefoot toad), 273 nucleotides. NCBI's taxonomy places the organism in Eukaryota, Metazoa, Chordata, Amphibia, Anura, Pelobatidae. The record is from the annotation of a GenBank genome assembly.